CAGCAAUUCCCUGUUGUAAAACCUCUCCCAAACCCUAAUUCGAUCCUCGAACAAACUGCAUCUGCAAUUAACAAUGUCUUCUCGCUAUAGAACGCUCUCCAGACCCGCGGUUAAUCUUCUCAAGUCCGCAAUUUCAACGCCUUCAUUGAGUCCCGCAUCUAUCCAAUCCUCACGCUCAUCUCCAUCUCUUUUCUCAAGGUUGUUCCCCCCACCCCGCACCCCCAUCCAAAACACUAAAUACAUUCCUUAACAAAGCCAUUUGUUAUUUUUGAAUCAAGAUUCAGUUUUGAACAUUCAUUUGUUAUCUCAUGUGGGUUUUGUUUAAAAUGGGUUUCUUGACCUUUUUUAUUUUUUAUUUUUCAAAACCGUAAAAACAAUUCCUCCUCGAUUGAAUGCCGUUCCGUUUUGUAUUCUUAACACAAGAUUCGAUUUUGAAUUGUAAUUUUCAGGGUCGAAAUGCUAAAUAUUUAAGACUUUUAUAUUCUUGAAAUUUUACUUUUGAAUUUUAGGCCAUUAGCUCAGAUUGAUGCAUUUCAGUCUCUACUACCUCUCCACACAGCUGUCUCCUCUGCUCGGCUUACCUCUUGCCUUGGGGCCGACACCAAAGGCCGCCGGUCGCUAUCUCAGGGUAUGCUCUGCAGUGCCAACCAUGGAGUUUGAUAAAUUUUAUAAUGUUUCUGUAAGCAUACUACUUUUAUCUUUAAUAGUUCCUUCCAAGUUGGUAGAUUUCUGUGAUUCUUUUGUUUUUUCAUUUAUGAGUUACUGAGUAAAUUAUCGUGUUCCUUUGUUUACAUGUACAUUAUGUGGGAUUGAUACAGGUGAUCAUGUUUGGCUAUGCUCAAUAAUAAGUCUCUAGAAAGGAAGUCUAUAAAACUAAGUGUUGUUAAUUAUGUUUAGCAAAAGAAGUAAGUUUGACUUACUUUUAAUGAGCCAGAAUGUAUUUGAUAGGUAAUUUCUAGUUUAACUAAAAUGAAACAUGGAUAGAGAGAGAGAGAGAGUUAUGGCAUGUGAUGACAUGCAUGAGGAGAGAUGUGGAGAGUAAGUGGUUAAUAUACAUCAUUCCAGAAUCCAUAAUGGAAAAGCUCGUUGUGUGGAUGUUGUACGCUCUUUAUUCUGCACUGUGCACAGUGCGUCUCUGGUUGCAAUUGUGACCUAUCAUCAAGCUCUUGUGGUAUAUUUUGACUCCUUGCUUGUCAUGAGUGUUGGUUGGGGUUGCUUAAGUUGUUGCCUAUAAGGGUCGCCUAUGACAUGUAUGAUCCAAUACGAUAAUUUUGUUGAAAGUUUUAACUUUAUAGCAGUUUGGCAACUUGUGCUAUAGAUUCUAGAUAUCUGUAUCGUCAAACUAUCUUUUUCAAAUGAAAUGUCUCGGUUUAACGAAAGCAAUCAAUAAGGCGAGAUUAUAACGUCUUUUUUUUCCCCAUUCAGAUGAUUUGAGGUUUUUAGGUAAAUAAUAAUUUGGGUGUAAAAUGUAGAUGCUACAUGAUGGAAGGAAAAUUGGUAAUUAUGCCGGGAGCUGGCUUUCAUUGGAAGUUUAGGUUUUGGGUGUAGGUAUUCUUUUAUUUUCUCGGACUAUUUUAUAUUUCAGUUCUUUUAACUCAUGUUUUAAACUUGUUUUUUGUUGAAAUUGUAAUUUUGGAGUGUAGGGUUGUGAUGUAGCCUAUUGAGGUCACAGUUCUCUAGCAUCGGUUGAGUUUCAAAUCAAAUCAUAAAACCCAACGGCCAAUAUACAUUUAUUAAUUUGUAAACUUCCGAGCAAGUGACGAAUUUGAUGUUUCUAUGGGUAAUUUUGCCCAAAUAGUGCAAAAGCGAGCUAUUAUCUUCUUUCUCUGCUUCCUCCUCCUCCCCUCCAUAUAAUCCUCAAAUCUUAAUUCUCUUAUGCUGUUCAUUUUACUACAUUAUCUUUGAUACAUUUAAACCCUAUGUAACAAUGCUCAACCAUCACCAACAAAAAGUUUGAUGUAUGUACACUUGGUGCAUGUUGGGUACACAACACUCGAUAGGACUUAAUAGUAUAAUAAACAAGAUUUUAGCUUAUUUUUCUCAGUACCAUCAAGAGCUAUCCAACCAUUUCUACCAAUCAUGCAGUCCGAGUUUAUCUGUUGUGCUCAUAAAUUCUCGUUGUCUGCAAUGCUUCAUAUGUACAAUUGAUAGCCUAUGAAUUUUCAUGAUUAUAAGGUUAAUUAGAAAACAUAACUUUUUCACCCAACUAUUUUUGUGUGUGUGAUAUUUCAGUGGCUUAUAAUUAUUUUAUUUUAAUUUUUAAUCCUUUCUUAUUGUCUUUGGGAGAUGGGGACGAUAUGGAGUUGGCUUAUCAUCUCCUUGUACAAAUUUGGACAAGAACCUGAAAUCUGGCUUUUGGGGAAUGGGAAAACAUUUGAACGUAGUUACUUGCCUUCCUAAGUGCCAUCUAGCAUUUCUUUUCGUACAGUUGAAUUUUGUGCAUGUUUGGCUAAUUUAAAAUUUUAAUUAUAUGUAAAUAGGUUAGUUUGAAUAAAUAAUCAUUUGUUUGUUAAAGUUAGAAAUAAGUUACUUGUUUUGAGAGUAACUUUUCAGUUCUACCUCACCGUCAAAAUAAGUAACUUUCUUUUCCUGCUUAGUAACAAAAUUAACUCAUCCGAAACAUGCUUGGAAGCAAAAGUUUCUUUAAAUAAGGCCCCGUUUGUUUCUCAUUUUUGUAAGAAUGAAAAUGAAAAAUAUAGUCGUUACGAACCCACACAAGAGAUAGAAAUUCAAAUUUGAUGGUUUGAUGUGAUGGAUAACGGUCAUAUUUUUUAUUUUAAUGGGAAAAGAAUAAGAAACAAACGAGGGCUAAAUAUAACUUAGAAAACAGACAAACAUGCAUGUUGUACAUGUUUGACAUUUUGUGAGCUCUAUAUAUGUAAAUAGGCUAGUUUGAAUGGAUAAUCUUUUGUUUGUUAAAGUUAGAAAUAAGUUACUUGUUUUGAGAGUAACUUUUCAGUUCUACCUCACCGUCAAAAUAAGUACUUUCUUUUCUUGCUUAGUAACAAAAGUAACUCAUCAAAACAUGCUUGGAAGCAAAUGUUUCUUUAAAUAAAUAGGACUUAGAAGACAGACAAACAUACUUGUUGUACAUGUUAACAAUUUGUGAGCUCCUUUUUUGUGAAUGUAUAUUUUUGUUGUAGCCACGAAUGAGUCAUUUUGUACAUUUCUCCCAUUUUUGUUGGUUAUUCUCGCAUUUGUAGAGCAUUUUCAAUAGACUCGUUAAAUAUGAAAUACUCUUUAUUUUAAAAAGUCAACCCUUAAAAUCAUGUUCCAAAAAACUCUUUAAAUUAACAUUUUAAUUUGGAGAGCGAAACUCACUCUCUAUAAUUAAAUGCAUUAGAAGUGUUUCAAUUUCAAUGUAAGAAAAUAAUAAAAUAAUCUAAAGAAAAGCUAAUUAAAAUAAAAGAUAGAGAAAAAUAAUAAAUAUUUUUGGGGAGUAGUAAAAUUAAGUGUUAAAUAUGAAGAGCCUAUUGGAGUACUUUAAAAUUUUAACUCUAUAAAUUUAUAUAUACUCUUCAAAUGAUAGAAUAUGCUCUUUAUAAAUAGAAAGGCUCUUAGAGAUACUUAAUUAUCCCUGGAAAAAAGGAUUGUUAUGCUACCAGCCACUACGUGAUUUGUCUAUUUCCCACGUCUAUGAUUGCAAUUUUAGCUCGUUGCAUAAAAGUUCUAUAAACUUAUUUUAGAACGGUUCUUUGCAUUUAAUUCUCUACAUAAUUUUUUGGGAUAUUUUUCUCCUUAUUUGAUGUUUAUAUCCACAUGAUAUAUGAAAAUCAAUGUGAAACCAUGUUUAUCUCAAUUCUAUAAUCAAGUGACUUGCAGGAAUGGGAUCAAUUAUUCACUCAACUCAUUUUUUUGGCUUUCAUCUAGUUGCUUGGAAUUCCCUGAUCAUCGCUUAUGUUUUCUCUGGUUUGCUCAGAACUAGGUCUCUGUGUGCUGCGAUAAGAGACUUAAGGUUGAAGAUGGACUAAGUGAUUGAUCAACGAUCUUGGACUUCCCAUUAGAUUUAUGUGAUUUUCCUUUUUAUUUAAAGGAAAUAAAUGUCUACAAUUUUGUGUAACACAUAUUGAUGAAAACCUUGGAUUGGUAUUUCUUUGUUGUCAUCUUAAAUAGAGAGAUUUCAGUUCUUGCUUAUUUUCAUGAAUAAUCUUGUGAGCUCUAAUUCAG
Molecule: long non-coding RNA, 4167 nt
Filed under: Olea europaea subsp. europaea
Lineage: Eukaryota; Viridiplantae; Streptophyta; Magnoliopsida; Lamiales; Oleaceae
Source: RNAcentral